AACGAACGCUGGCGGCAGGCCUAACACAUGCAAGUCGAGCGAGACCUUCGGGUCUAGCGGCGGACGGGUGAGUAACGCGUGGGAACGUGCCCUUUUCUACGGAAUAGCCCUGGGAAACUGAGCGUAAUACCGGAUAAGUCCCGCGGGGGAAAGAUUUAUCGGAGAAGGAUCGGCACGCGUUGGAUGAGGUUGUUGGUGGGGUAAUGGCCUACCAAGCCUACGAUCCAUAGCUGGUUUGAGAGGAUGAUCAGCCACACUGGGACUGAGACACGGCCCAGACUCCUACGGGAGGCAGCAGUGGGGAAUCUUAGACAAUGGCGGCAACCCUGAUCUAGCCAUGCCGCGUGAGUGAUGAAGGCCUUAGGGUUGUAAAGCUCUUUCAGCUGGGAAGAUAAUGACGGUACCAGCAGAAGAAGCCCCGGCUAACUCCGUG
RNAcentral lists this ribosomal RNA (433 nucleotides) under uncultured bacterium. Its description in RNAcentral is "partial 16S ribosomal RNA". It matches the Rfam family "Bacterial small subunit ribosomal RNA", at positions 29 to 507 of the family's 1533-position model. The record is from RNAcentral.